This 596-nucleotide ribosomal RNA is filed under the name Hanseniaspora uvarum. RNAcentral's name for it is "eukaryotic LSU rRNA". It matches the Rfam family "Eukaryotic large subunit ribosomal RNA", at positions 50 to 661 of the family's 3401-position model. The record is from RNAcentral. Lineage: Eukaryota; Fungi; Ascomycota; Saccharomycetes; Saccharomycodales; Saccharomycodaceae.
ACGGAGGAAAAGAAACCAACUGGGAUUACCUUAGUAACGGCGAGUGAAGCGGUAAAAGCUCAAAUUUGAAAUCUGGUACUUUCAGUGCCCGAGUUGUAAUUUGUAGAAUUUGUCUUUGAUUAGGUCCUUGUCUAUGUUCCUUGGAACAGGACGUCAUAGAGGGUGAGAAUCCCGUUUGGCGAGGAUACCUUUUCUCUGUAAGACUUUUUCGAAGAGUCGAGUUGUUUGGGAAUGCAGCUCAAAGUGGGUGGUAAAUUCCAUCUAAAGCUAAAUAUUGGCGAGAGACCGAUAGCGAACAAGUACAGUGAUGGAAAGAUGAAAAGAACUUUGAAAAGAGAGUGAAAAAGUACGUGAAAUUGUUGAAAGGGAAGGGCAUUUGAUCAGACAUGGUGUUUUUUGCAUGCACUCGCCUCUCGUGGGCUUGGGCCUCUCAAAAAUUUCACUGGGCCAACAUCAAUUCUGGCAGCAGGAUAAAUCAUUAAGAAUGUAGCUACUUCGGUAGUGUUAUAGCUUUUUGGAAUACUGUUAGCCGGGAUUGAGGACUGCGCUUCGGCAAGGAUGUUGGCAUAAUGGUUAAAUGCCGCCCGUCUUGAACA